RNAcentral lists this long non-coding RNA (1767 nucleotides) under Mytilus galloprovincialis (Mediterranean mussel). Lineage: Eukaryota; Metazoa; Mollusca; Bivalvia; Mytilida; Mytilidae. The record is from RNAcentral.
GUUACAUUAGGUGUAUAUUGAAAGAAGGUAUUGUUUAGUAUGUAUCUUUUAAAAAAACUCUUUAUAUUUAAAUGGAGCGAAUAAAGGUUAGGAAGUUUGCAAUAUUCUUUUCCAAAAACAUUUGUAGAUUUUUGUUCUCGUACAUGUACAUCCAUCUUCAAAAUUUCAAGCUUUGUUAAAUGUGCUAUUGUUUUACCUGAAAGAUAAGACCGAAUGUCAUUUCUUUCAUUUGGAAGUCGUCCCAUAAAUUUCAUCAUCUGAAAAUAACUGUUUGAAAUUUUUUUUUUUCCAUUAUUAGAAUUCAGGUCGUUAUUAUUGAGCCUUAGUUGCUGCAGGUUCUCAAGUCCAUUAAACGCUCCAUCAACUAUAAAAUGUAUAUUGUUGAAGGAUAAAUCCAAUACUCUUAGAUUCCUCAUAUUUUUAAACUGAUUAGCGGAUAUAAUUAUUAGAUUGUUAAAGGAUAUAUCCAGUACUGUAAGAUAACUCAUAUUAUUAGAGUGAGUACGUUUUAUAGAAGAAAUAUGGUUGUGUUGCAAUGUCAGAGAAAAAGCAUUCGAUGGUAAUUGUAACAUAGAAAGUAUUUGUCCCUUAAUUUUGUAUGAACAAUCAACAUAGAGCUCUCCGUUCUCAUAAUUUUCUUUACACAUGUAUGUACUCUCCUUGGUAUGUAAAAUGUAACUGCAUGAUACAAAUAUCAUCAGUAUAAAUUUAUUAAAAAGAGUGUGUUCCAUAUCUGCCAGGCUAUUAUCUGUAAAAUAUAAUAGAAUAAGAUCAAGCUUAUUCCAUAAUGGUCUACAGUUCAUUAAUUAUAAAAAAAGAUACCAGCAUUUUAAAGUUAUAGAUACAUGUAUGAUACAUAUUUAGCUUAUUCAUCAACUGUUGUAAAUUUUUUCAUAGACCUGUUCUUGGGAUGCUUAUGAAUACACCACUCACCCUUUAUAUAUAUUUACAUAUACAGGUCAUACAUUAUGCCACAGUUGACUCAAUAUUGCAGUAUUCGUUGGUUAAAAACUUUCUGAAGAAACUACUUUAAUAACUUAAACCAACUUCACAUGCUUGAUGCUCAAUUAUAGGUUGCACUUUGUAAAUACAGCUGUUUCACAAACCACACCAGAAUGUGCAUAUGGACAGGAAAUUGUGAAAAAAGACGUCUACUUAUAGAAUAAUUAAUUGAAUAAAUAGAGAAAUAUAUUCAAAGAGUGGCCAAACAACACAUGGUGGCUACAGCGACAGCAGCCGCAUUAGCUAACUUCUUUUAAAAAAGCUUUAUGAUUUAGAAGGUGGAAGACCUGGAUGCUUCAUACUUUGUAAAUAGAUGUCUUAUGUUACGAAGUUUCCGUCAGUUACAUAACCAAUGUUCUUGACCUUAAUUUCAUGGUUCAGUGACUACUUGAAAAAAAAGUUAAUAUUUUUUGUAAUGUUGAAUUCUCUCUUAUUACAAGUAAUAGGAUAACUAUAUUUAGUAUGUGCGUACCUUUCAAGAUCCUCAUGCCCGUCAGACAGUUUUCACUUGACCUCAACCUCAUUUCAUGGAUCAGUGAACAAGGUUAAGUUUUGGUGGUCAAGUCCAUUUCUCAGGUACUAUGAGCAAUAUGUCUAGGAUAAUUGGUGUAUGGAAGGACUGUAAGGUGUACAUGUCCAACUGGCAGGUGGCAUCUGACCAUGACCUCAUUUUCAUGGUUCACUGGUUAUAUAUAGUUAAAUUUUUGUUUGUUUUGGUAUGUUUUUUCUUAUACUGUAUGCAAUAGGUCUACCUAUUUGGUUAUG